This is a long non-coding RNA of Hemiscyllium ocellatum (epaulette shark), 715 nucleotides long. RefSeq lists it as uncharacterized. The record is from RefSeq and is a predicted model, not a curated record. NCBI's taxonomy places the organism in Eukaryota, Metazoa, Chordata, Chondrichthyes, Orectolobiformes, Hemiscylliidae. The transcript has 3 exons.
UCACAGGAAUUCCCCAAAAUUACAGCUCUUCCGCUCUUCAGGAUCUGUCACUGCGCAGCCUUAACCCGGUCAGAAACCACGCCUUUUUUGGGAAAUAGAAAAAUCUAGUUAAUGUCGCUUCUCAUUUUUUUUCUGAAAGAAUCCCCCAAGAAUUGACUUUUACGCAGUGUUCAUACUAAUUAUGGAAGUGGACUUGAGAUUCCGACAUUCAUAGACUUAUUCUGCUCUAGAUGUAUAUCUAGAGGCACAAGCUCUUCUGGCUGUAACACUACAUCCUGCAUACUGCUGUAUGAGAAUCAAAAAGUGUGGUGCUGGAAAAGCACAGCUGGUCAGGCAGCAUCCAAGGAGCAGGAGAGUCGACAUUUCAAGCAUAAGCUCUUCAUCAGGAAUCAGAACUGUUCUAUUAUCCUGAUGCACUUACGUAAGAUAUAGCCCAACCUACUGAGCACUUCCAGCAUUUCUUGUUUAUGUUCCAAAAUGCAAAUACUUUCCUAGCCGUGGUGUAACAUCUUCGGAAUUGACCGUCUCUCAGUCAGAAGCUGAUAUCUGCACAGUUAAAGUAUUGGCAUUUGGAGAAGAAUGAGGGUAUAUAUCACUUGAGGAGAGAUGGUAAAUCUUGUGUUGACAUUUCUUACAGCUGCCACUUGUAAUGGAUGUGUGAUGCUUAAUGCAUGUAGAAUGCAGAGGCUCAAUACAGAUUUCACCAACAAGUAAA